RNAcentral lists this long non-coding RNA (6041 nucleotides) under Lactuca sativa (garden lettuce). Its description in RNAcentral is "long non-coding RNA (LSAT_LNC005249)". The record is from RNAcentral. Lineage: Eukaryota; Viridiplantae; Streptophyta; Magnoliopsida; Asterales; Asteraceae.
AAUGACUAGGAUUUAGAGUUUACUCUCCAAUGGUAAACUCUUAGGGAGUGUUUACGGCCUAAACACCACAUCCCCAUGAGUUUACGGCCGUAAACUCAUGGUGGGUGUUUUUAUGAGCUAAAUGGCCUUAAAUCAAAUAAUGGGUGUUGCUAGGUUUGGCUUUUGGACAUUUGAAAGGGACAAAAUCAUUAUAUGAAUUAAUAGAAGAGUUUAGGGCAGUAAACUAAGAGUUUACGGCCGUAAACUCUCACACACAUCCAACUUAAUUAUUUUGAAGGCCAAGGAUUAAUCACAAGUGAUUCAACUAAUUUUUACAAGGCUUAGGUUGAGUUUAAGGCUUCAAAUGGCAUCCAUCUAGGAGUUUACGACCCUAGAGUAUAUGCUCUGGCCGUAAACUCUCAAUUAGAGGGUUUUUGAUAUGUUUAAGACCCCUAAAUGAUUUUUUUGGUUGGUUCUAGGAUUUAUUCCAAGGCUUUUGGUGGAGUUAUAUGGCUUUCUAACAUGUUGGAAAUGAGUUUACACUCAUGUUUGAGGGGUUUACGGCCCAAGCACAUGCCUUGGCCGUAAACUCAUGCAAAUCCCUCAAAAUCAUUGUCUAAGGUGUUCUAAGUCCAUUUCAUGAAGUCAUAUAGCCAUAUCNUAUCUAAGCUCCUAUGGUGAUUUGGAAGGGUUUUAAGGCUCAAAAACCCCAAUUACAUGUGUUCACGGCCUAAGGCUGAUCCAGGGCCGUAAACACAUGUUUAUGGUCUUAUCCCAUGAUUUAAACACGAAAAUGAAGCCUAAGGAUGUUAUACUAGGAGCUAGGAUGCUUACCUUGGUGUUUUAAGGCUUGAAAUGGUUGAUUUUGGCUUAACAAUAUGGAUUUGAGGAGAGAGGUUAGAGAGAGAGUGAAAAAGCUUCAAAUGAGGCUUAAUCCACUUUAAAUAUGGUUUGACUUGGAUACACGGUGGAAUUUUACCCGAUACCGACGUUAACCGAUGCUUUGGGUCGCACCCGAUUAAGUUGUCGUUACCCGAUAUGGUCGAAACUAUAAUUUUUCAAAUUACUAGUUCGGGACGUUUUCACAUGUUUCCAACAUGUUUGGAUACUUACCAAGUCAAAAUAAAGGUUUUGACUUAAUUAACCUAGUUCAGGACGAAAUCGGAACAAUUCGCUUAAGACGAGUUUUGACGAAACGGUUACGGCGAAUAAGCAAUGUUUCGGGUUGUUACAUUAUCCCCCCGUCAGAGGGAAUUUCGUCCCGAAAUUCAAGAAUUUAGAUACAAAAUUAUGGACAAAGGGUGUGGAUGUGUCUACUGUAUCGGGUCUUCACACUCCCAUGCGAAUUUAGGUUCUCGCUUGGAACCUUCACUAACGGGACGUGGCUCGGUUUCAUACGCUUGAUUACUUGGUCUAUGAUCUUAGUUUGCUCGUCCAGAGAGUUUGGGUAUAUCAAGGUUCUUGGUCACAUUAGAAUGGAUUUCUGUGGUUUUAUCAGGCAAGUAUUCAUUAAGGAUAGAGGUGCAAGGUACAGGAUGAGCGCUGCUAAUUACUGAAGGUAUUUCGGAGCUGAAGGCUAAGGAAUCAAUCCGAAUGGGGAUCUCAAAGGGUCUAAUGUACCACAGACUAAGUUUUCCAUGCCUUAUCAAGUUUACUAUGGGUGUCUUUGGUGCCGAACAAUUCUCUAUUGCUUCGAUCUUAGGAGGAUCUACGCGUACGUCUUCAUCGUCUACUACAUGACCGGAAAGAAAAUGGUUUGACCGAAGGGUAUCAAUGCGAACUCUCAGUGAUCAUAUCUAAUCCUGAAUGUUGUCUUUAAAACAUGAACUCGUAGCUGGUGGUGUCUCGACCUGAGGCAUAUCUUCGAGGAGUAGUUGGCUCCCUGAAGUUAUCGAAGAAAUCGUCUAUUCAGAAAAGAGAAUAUCGGUUUUGACGGUCAACUCAUUAAGCCGAUUAGAUAACUCCUGCAUUUUUGCUGGAGCAAAGCGAUACGGAGGUUUGGCUACGGGGAUAGAUCCAGGGAUUAAGUUGAUACGAAACUCAACUUGGCGUUCGGAGGGAAUUCUCGGGAUUUAUUCGGAAAGAUAUCAGGAGCAUUAUAGUCCUCGGGGACGUUCUUGGGGUUUUUAACUCCUUGUUUCUCUCUGAUCACAUGGACUAGGAAUACUUGACACUUCUUUCGUAGGAACUUUCGAGUUUUGAUGCAUUGAACGAAGCGAAGAUUUGGGCUAAACUCGCCACCAUGAAUUAGGAGGGUCUGAUCAGAAGGAAGAUUGAGACAAAUAGCUUUCUAUAACGAGGUGUAUCAACACAGUCGGGGCUCAAUCGAUACAUAAUAAGGAUAACAUCAAAGCUCUUACUGAAACUGACAUCGGGUUAAUGAUAAAUAAAUGAUUACUCAAGGUAAGGACACAACGUAGAGAUAAGUCGUUUAUACACUCAUUCUCACUGACAACUAUCUUGACGGUAAAUGUUUUUGGUUGUCAAACGAGGACUAUGUUUAACAAGAUAAUUGAAUGAAUGACUAAUUGAACUUUCUUAACACUAGAUUUGAAGAGGAUGCGAGCAUAAGGAUAGUCGGAAAGAAAUAUACCCGCGACGUUAGUGGGAUUGGUGGCUGCCUCCUCCUGCUUCAAAGCUAAGACCAUUCCGGCGUUGUUGACAUUGUUGGGGGUUGUUGCUUUUGGGCAGUUUCGCUUGAAAUGCCCAAUUUCUCCACAACUAUAGCAAACCUGUUUGAUACUUGAUUCAGAAGUUUGUUCGAGGUGUUGGACUAGUGUUCUGCAACUUCUAGCAAGAUGACCUUUCUUGCCACAGCGUUUGCAAAUCAUCUUGCGACAUGGGCCAGGAAUAUAAUGAUGAUAACUACACUUACUGCACCAAGGGAGAUUACCAGCAUACCCAGUGACAGGUGCUUGAGCCUUAGACGAAAUAACAGGAGUAGUGGUAGCUUGAACUAUAGGAACAACGGCAGGAUUGGUAGCAACUUGGACUGCCACAUUUUUGAGCUUCUUGGAGGGUCCUUGGGAACCCUGACCCUUUUGCUUUUUCUAGAUAACCUUAUUACUCUCAUCAAACUCAUUCUGAUGCUCCUGAACAUUUUCACGGUUUUAGGGGUAGGGGUUAUAUCCUGGACCAAUGGACUUUUUAGGGUUCAAGAUCGUCAUUGCAGCCGUCACUGCAGCAGAAACAGCCAGUUGGAAUAUCACAGGGUCGAAGCGAGAUGAGGGUGGAGACGAAGGGUCGUUGUUCUUCGAGCUGGGUUCUUUCCGUGAAGACAGCUCGAUCUAAAAGUUUAGGAAAAGAGGAUAAUAAGUCCUCUAAAUUGAAUCAAGAGAUAUGAAACAAAGGAUAUCUCUUUAUGACAGACAUAUAUUUCUAUUAAGCGAAUAAGCAGGAAUAAAUUAUCAAAGCAGACAUUUAUCGCUAACGGAAUGAUCGAGGAGCAAUGCUUGAAUGAGAAUUCUCUACAACAAAUUUGGAUCUAGAAAUACUCCCAUAGUAUUUCACGAUUCACCGCAACGACGAUUCGUUGUUUGUGGUAUUUGGGUAAGUUUUAGGUAUGCCGCAUUCCACAGUCACUCCCAAGCACAUGUUGGCCGUGUCUCGAAUGAAUAUAGUUGAUCAGGCUAUAUUGAUCCUAGACACGACUACAUAACUGCCCAGGUUUAACUGUAGCAGACAACACCCAAUUACUUGUGUUAUGUUCUAUUUAUAGAUACGAUUCUCGACGGUUAGGUAUACUUAUAUACUUUUUGAAAAUACUUAUAUUUUCAGGUAUACUUUUAGUUCAGAGCACUUAGUCCCCUUAGUUUUUAUAGUCUUAUACCAUGUAAAGUUUGGUAUACUUAGUUCACUAUAAACAAGGGCUCUGAUACCAAUCUGUCAACCCCGAAACCGAAGGCGGAAACGUCUCGGGGCGGAGGUGACUUCAUGGGAAUAUCAUAACCAAUGUACAUAGUAAGAGAAGUAAAACACAAAACAUUAGAUUACAUAAAUUUCAUUACAUCAGUUGAAAAAUAAAGUAGUACAAGUUUCAUAGAUACAUAAGUUUAAACAAAAGAAAGACAUGACUUCCAUUCGCUCCGUCUUCUGCAAAAGAACGCGGGAUACCUGUCUAAGGAAAACCUGAGAAUACAAGCAGUUUGAAAAUCAGCAUAAAGCUAGUGAGUUCAUAAGCGGUUUGUUUUAUGAAAAGAACGGGUUCCUUUAGUUUCCUGAAAAAGUGAUUAACCAAGAAAAUCCCAUAUUUUCUUAAUAAUUAAGUUACCAAAUCCAAAUUGUAUUGCAAAAGAUAUACAAUGAAAACAUGAUUGUUCUUAUGAUUUGUAAAGUUUAGUUAUUUAACUUAUUACACUUAUCUGGUUACAACUAGUGUUACUCAGGAAAAUCCUAUACUUUCCUAUAUGUGUAAGUGUGAACUAUUACUGGUUCUGUGUGAGCUAACUGAUACUGAUUCCGAUUAUGUUCAUUAUUAUCCAUAGGAAAACCCCAUGUUUUCCUGAAUGUGUGUGUGUACUAUUACCAAUUUUGUGUAUGCUAACUGUUACCGAUUCUGAUUAUGUUCAUUGUUAUCCAUAGGAAAACCCCAUGUUUUCCUGAAUGUGUGUGCUGAUAGUCUGAUUAUCCCUAAAUGUACAUCAGCUUUACUACGUACAUAAAGCUAGUAAAUGAGUCUAAAGUGUUAAUAAUCUAGAUUUCAAGUCCUUAACCAUACUCAGAGUAGAUAUGACUCGAGUCGUGGCCAGUAUCAUUUUUAUGACUUUCGUCACCCUUGAACCUUUCGGUUCGCCUAUAGCUAGCAGCCAGGUGCGGGAUUGUCAGUCCCGUAUAGAUCUAUACACUCAAGUCACGCUCUCCUACGUUCGGAGAUUCUGGUUACAAGAGUAGUCCUCGACUCUCGUGCCACGGGACGUGUUACAAAGGACGUGUCUCCAAUCUUUAAGAUUUCUCAUUACUUCUCGCCUAGGAGAAGUAGUAUCUAUGAAUAACUAGGUUCUAACGUACCUGUCCUUUACACUCGGGCCUAGGUUUUAUUAUUAAGGACAUUACAAAUGUUCUAUGUUUUCUAAUGUCGACUAUCCAUUACACUCGAGCCGAGGUGCAUUAUUAAACACAUUACAAUGUUCUAUAUUAUCAAAUGACUGUUGUCCUUUACACUCGAGCCUAGGUGUAUUCUUAAUGACAUACCGAAGUUUUAUGUUUUCUUUAUGGUGUCUGACUUUUAUACUCGUGCCUAUGGUGUUUUAUUACAGACUUUAUAAUGCUUUAUGUUUUCUAUCAAUAUAAGUAUGAACAAUCAAAUGUGAAGUAUACAAUAUGACAAUAUAUAAUAAGAAUUGAAAAUCGGUUUUUAAACAUAUAACUCUGCAAGUUAAAAGAGUUUGUUAAAAGGGUUUUCAAUCCUUAAAAAUGUACAAGUAUGAAACCAUUUAACUAAAAUCAUAAGUUUAAGUACAAGAUAUUCUUGUACUCUUGCUUGUAUUCCCCCCUGAAAACAUUGAAAAACCAUUGAAAAAGGGUAGGGGUAUGAACUCACCGGACGCGGAAAUGUGUCGAAUGGGAUGCUAAACGUCGAACCGAGGCUUGAAUACGAGCGAUGUUCCUAUGUAAUAAUAAAUAAUACACAAUAUAUAUCUAAUUAGAUUUAAAUAACUAAUUAGAUACACUUGAACAUUCUAAGACGCGAAAACACUCCAAAAUGAGCGUUUGAAGUGACCCGGGUGGCGUUUCAGGACAUGAAUGGCUAGGAUAUAGAGUUUACUCUUCAAGGGUAAACUCUAGGGAGUGUUCACGGCCUAAACACCACAUCCCCAUGAGUUUACGGCCGUAAACUCAUGGUGGGUGUUUUUAUGAGCUAAAUGGCCUUAAAUCAAAUAAUGGGUGUUGCUAGGUUUGGCUUUUGGACAUUUGAAAGGGACAAAAUCAUUAUAUGAAUUAAUAGAAGAGUUUAGGGCAGUAAACUAAGAGUUUACGGCCGUAAACUCUCACCCACAUCCAACUUAAUUAUUUUGAAGGCCAAGGAUUAAUCACAAGUGAUUCAACUAAUUUUUACAAGGCUU